Molecule: small RNA, 2873 nt
Filed under: Pongo abelii (Sumatran orangutan)
Lineage: Eukaryota; Metazoa; Chordata; Mammalia; Primates; Hominidae
Description: retained intron
Source: RNAcentral
GGGGUCGCUCUUCGCUCCUCAGCGCGACGUCGUGUCGAGUUCCCAAAAAGCUCCGCAGGGGCUGUGGGGAGGCAUACAAGAAUUAAAUUCUGAAUAAGUCUGGAGGUAGGAUGGACAGUUAUUUUAAAGCAGCUGUCAGUGACUUGGACAAACUCCUUGAUGAUUUUGAACAGAACCCAGAUGAACAAGAUUAUCUCCAAGAUGCACAAAAUGCAUAUGAUUCUAACCACUGCUCAGUUUCUUCAGAGUUGGCUUCCUCACAGCGAACUUCAUUGCUCCCAAAAGACCAAGAAUGCGUUAAUAGUUGUGCCUCAUCAGAAACAAGCUAUGGAACAAAUGAGAGUUCCCUGAAUGAAAAAACACUCAAGGGACUUACUUCUGUACAAAAUGAAAAAAAUGUAACAGGACUUGAUCUUCUUUCUUCUGUGGAUGGUGGUACUUCAGAUGAAAUCCAACCUUUAUAUAUGGGACGAUGUAGUAAACCUAUCUGUGAUCUGAUAAGUGACAUGGGUAACUUAGUUCAUGCAACUAGUAGUGAAGAAGAUAUUAAAAAAUUAUUGCCAGAUGAUUUUAAGUCUAAUGCAGAUUCCUUGAUUGGAUUGGAUUUAUCUUCAGUGUCAGAUACUCCCUGUGUUUCUUCAACAGACCAUGAUAGUGAUACUGUCAGAGAACAACAGAAUGAUAUCAGUUCUGAAUUACAAAAUAGAGAAAUCGGAGGAAUCAAAGAAUUGGGUAUAAAAGUAGAUACAACACUUUCAGAUUCCUAUAAUUACAGUAGAACAGAAAAUUUAAAAGAUAAAAAGAUCUUUAAUCAGUUAGAAUCAAUUGUUGAUUUUAACAUGUCGUCUGCUUUGACUCAACAAAGUUCCAAAAUGUUUGAUGCCAAAGACAAGCUACAACACAAGAGCCAGCCAUGUGAAUUACUAAAAGAUGAUGGCUUAGUAAAAGAGGAAGUAGAUGUGGCAGUCGUAACUGCCGCAGAAUGUUUAAAAGAAGAGGGCAAGACAAGUGCUUUGACCUGCAGCCUUCCGAAAAAUGAAGAUUUAUGCUUAAAUGACUUAAAUUCAAGAGGUGAAAAUUUCAAAUUACCUGACUUUUCCUUUCAGGAAGAUAAGACUGUUAUAAAACAAUCUGCGCAAGAAGACUCAAAAAAUUUAGACCUUAAGGAUAAUGAUGUAAUCCAAGAUUCCUCUUCAGCUUUACAUGUUUCCAGUGAAGAUGUACCGUCCUCAUUGUCCUGUCUUCCCACAUCUGGGUUUAUGUGUGGAUCAUUAAUUGAAAGUAAAGCAUGGGGUGAUUUUUUACCUCAGCAUGAACAUAAAGAUAAUAUACAAGAUGCAGUGACUAUACAUGAAGAAAUACAGAACAGUGUUGUUCUAGGUGGGGAACCAUUCAAAGAGAAUGAUCUUUUGAAACAGGAAAAAUGUAAAAGCAUACUCCUUCAGUCAUUAAUUGAAGGGAUGGAAGACAGAAAGAUAGGUCCUGACCAGACAGUAAUCAGAGCUGAGUCUUUGGAUGGUGGUGACACCAUUUCUACAGUUGUAGAAUCUCAAGAGGGGCUUUCUGGCACGAAUGUCCCAGAGUCUUCUGAUUGUUGUGAAGGUUUUAUUAAUACUUUUUCAAGCAAUGAUAUGGAUGGGCAAGACUUAGAUUACUUUAAUAUUGAUGAAGGUGCAAAAAGUGGCCCACUAAUUAGUGAUGCUGAACUUGAUGCCUUUCUGACAGAACAGUGUCUUCAGACCACUAACAUAAAGUCUUUUGAAGAAAAUGUAAAUGACUCUAAAUCACAAAUGAAUCAGAUAGAUAUGAAAGGCUUAGAUGAUGGAAACAUCAAUAAUAUAUAUUUCAACGCAGAAGCGGGAGCUAUUGCGGAAAGUCAUGGUAUUAAUAUAAUUUGUGAAACAGUUGAUAAACAAAAUACAAUAGAAAAUGGCCUUUCUUUAGGAGAAAAAAGCACUAUUCCAAUUCAACAAGGGUUACCUACUAGUAAGUCUGAGAUUACAAAUCAAUUAUCAGUCUCUGAUAUUAACAGUCAAUCUGUUGGAGGGGCCAGACCUAAGCAAUUGUUUAGCCUUCCAUCAAGAACAAGGAGUCCAAAGGACCUGAAUAAGCCAGAUGUUCCAGAUACAAUAGAAAGUGAACCCAGCACAGCAGAUACUGUUGUUCCAAUCACUUGUGCUAUAGAUUCUACAGCUGAUACACAGGUUAACUUCAACUCUAAUUACAUUGAUAUAGAAAGUAAUUCUGAAGGUGGAUCUAGUUUUGUAACUGCAUUUGAAGAUUCUGUACCUGAAAACACUUGCAAAGAAGGCUUGGUUUUGGGCCAGAAACAGCCUACUUGGGUUCCUGAUUCAGAAGCUCCAAACUGUAUGAACUGCCAAGUCAAAUUUACUUUUACAAAACGGCGACACCAUUGCCGAGCAUGUGGGAAAGUAUUUUGUGGUGUCUGUUGUAAUAGGAAGUGUAAACUGCAAUAUCUAGAAAAGGAAGCAAGAGUAUGUGUAGUCUGCUAUGAAACUAUUAGUAAAGGUGAGUAUUAACUUGAUAUAUUUUCUUCCAGUAAUUGAAUAUAUCUUAAAAUUAAUUGGAUUGUGACAAAGAUAAACUUCUUUAUUUUCUUAAGGCAAGGACCUAGUGUUGAAUUAUCUGGCUUAGGUGGGACAUCCCAAGGCUUGGUUUCUCUUCUUUUUGUUCCACUCUCACAAUUAAUACUACCAAUCUGGAAAGGAAGCAUUCAGUUUCUGGAGUGGCAGUUCAUUAACUUUUAACAGGUACCAAGUCCCUAAAUGCUGCAUUUCAUCUGCCUAUUUGUUUUUGUCAUCAUCAUUGUCAUGUUAAUCAUCUUAAUCUAAAUAAACACUUGUAGAUACCUA